Long non-coding RNA from Silurus meridionalis, 2513 nucleotides. RefSeq lists it as uncharacterized. NCBI's taxonomy places the organism in Eukaryota, Metazoa, Chordata, Actinopteri, Siluriformes, Siluridae. The transcript has 3 exons. The record is from RefSeq and is a predicted model, not a curated record.
UUUAAUUAAGCAUAGAAAUAAUUUUAAAUUUGUGGUUGUCCAACAUUAAUGGCAGUAAACAUUACAGAAAUAUUUGCUGUACAUCUGUCAAUAUCAUGGUACCUCAAUGAUCAGUUUAGGUGAUUCAACUUUCUGACUUUGAACACAACAAACAUUUUACAAAGAUCAGAGUCUCUCUGGGUGGAAUGGUGAUACAAUGUGCUCUGAAUUUUUUAUUUUAUUUUUGAUUUUAUACUAAAAUUAAAAAGAACAUUUACAUAUUACUACAUUUACAUAUAUCAUUUGCAUACAGUUGUACAAGAUUUUACAUACUAUAUGUGCAAUCUAUUUCCUUUAAUUAUCAAACAGGUUUUAGAGAAAAUAUGUCUCGGCAAAUUAAACAGCUAGGGCUUUUUUCUCUCUUUCCCUAAGCAAAUAAAUGUUAAUUUACUAUUUAAAUAUACGCAUACACUAAACCCUCGUGUUGCGUGAACUUACCUUCCUGUUGAAUAUUUUUCACAGCCAUGAGCACAUCUGCAUAAUGCUAGGGGGUCUUUUUCAUUAUUAAAUUAAUGUAUUGUUAGUGCUUUUGUUCCACGGUUCAACUACACACUCAUCCUUAUCCUACUCCCACCCCCACACACAGACAAGACCAAAGGCCAAGGCCACACGAGUGUGUAACUCCAGCUGGCCUGUUAAUGUCUACUGUAGUCCAGCUGCUUUCUCUUUCACUGUGCAAGCUUAACUCUGCUCACCCAGUGGUCUCUGAAAGGAAAAAAAAAUAAUAAAACAAUGCUGAGAUCUGGGGUGGAAAAAAAAGAUGGGGGAAAAAGAGAUGGAGGGGGAGUAGCAGUAGGCGUCUGUGAAAGGCAUUAGGCAGCGAUUGCCUCAGCACGCUCCUGGCUGUGUUUAAUGAAUCACUGAAGGAGAGAGAGAAAGAGAAAAGGAGUAAUCCAUAUAGAGAGCUAAAGGCGGUAUGGGCCCUACUGAUAGGAGGUGGGGGUCAUGGCUGCGCUCUCUCAGCGCCCGAAAGAAAAGAUUCAAACUAAAAAAUAUCCAAGGGAUUUUUUUUUUUUUAGAAAGGGGUGCUUUUGUGCCAGGGAGAAAAGCAGCAUCUGCUGUAACGGUGAUCAGACUGCCAAGUCAGCGUGACCGCACUGUUUCAUGAGGCCUGAGGCUCCAUCGCUCCCUCUCUGUACCCUCACCCCCCUUUCACUCAUCCGCUGAUUAGGAGGCAAGAUCAAUGAGGUAAUGCCAGAGACGGCUCGGCUUACAGCAGCCACCCAAACGGCCACUUCGAUUCAGCCCUGUGUCUGUUCUGUGCAGAACAAUAGAAGCAGAAGCGAGGCAUUGAGUCGCUACUACGGCUCGCCCAUCUGUUUCCCACUAGAGAGGGCUAAGGAAAGAAAAACGUAAAAGUAUCCACACCGGCCUGCUUUAUUGUUCUUUUGGAAGUGCUGACUAAGCCAAAAACGAGGCCAAUCCACUUGUCACUUUUUGAAAUUAUGCUCCAAAGGCAGGAGAUGCAGCAAAACGAGGCAGUCAGGAAAUGAUGAUUAGUGCUCCCUGCUGAGCCAAAUCAAGGCCAGCACUGAUAAACAGCCCACAGGCCAUAGCACAGCAUGCUGGAAGUUUAGUUAAACAGUAUACAAGGUGUUUUGGAGAAGACUCUACCAUAUGGCCAGGCGAGGGAUUCUCCCAGAUGACCACACAUGUCCAACACAUUCUGUCAAACAUUUUAAUGAUAAUCUCUAUUUAUCAGUUUUCAUUGAUCAUGCUGUGGUUUUUCAAACACUUGAGCUUAUGUCGGGUUGGGGGAGAGGUGGAGAAGAAUGAGUAGGAGCUGGAUGAGAGGACUAAGAGAGAUUGGAGAUAAAGUGCUCAAAGGAUGGUGGGAGAUGGAAGCACAGACCGAGGAGAUUGUUAUUUGGCCCGGCUUUCUGAAAGUGGAUCAUUACAGGACAACAAUGUCAAGCCUGGAAUCAAGAAGCACUCUAUGGCCACUUAUUAUGUGUAUGUGUUUGUUUACUUGGUUUUGUGUGUGUGUGAGAGAGACUCUUUCUCUAUCUCACAGUAAACAUCUGAAUCAGUGCUUGUGGAAGUGCAAGUGCUUCAUUUCACUUCAGUGUUGCUCCUGGUGUCUCUGCUUAUUGAUUUUGCAGUGACAUUAGACAUUUCUGUACGUUUUUUUGUAACUGCACAACCUGUGAGUGACAAUUACAUUACACAUGUUGCCAAAGGCCUUUUUAGCACCUCCCAAGUCUUUGUCUGCAAUUCUGCUAGCAAUGCAUUUAGAUCACGAUUUGUCCUCUUUUCGUAUUACAGCGCUGUUCGGUCACCCACUUUUACAUGGUAACUGUUUUUUUAGACUGACCGAUUUGUGUUGCUCUUUCUUGUUUUCAAUAAAGCUGCAUCGAUUCACAACAGGAAAGUGAUUGUGAGUCAUUGAAUCUAAAUGGAUCUGAUUUUCUUUUCUAUUUGAGGAGUGCUAUUGUUUAAAGAUUGUUACCAGGGCUUAUGCAUGACAUGAUCCA